Molecule: ribosomal RNA, 830 nt
Filed under: uncultured crenarchaeote
Lineage: Archaea; Thermoproteati; Thermoproteota
Description: bacterial SSU rRNA
Rfam family: Archaeal small subunit ribosomal RNA
Source: RNAcentral
UGCUAGUCGUACGCCCAGAACCAUGUCUGGGAGUGGCGUACUGCUCAGUAACACGUGGCUAACCUGCCCUUGGGACGGGGACACCCCCGGGAAACUGGGGUUAAUCCCCGAUAGGUGAAGAACUCUGGAAUGAGUCUCCGCCCAAAAGGUGCUUACACUAUGCUUGUAGGCGCUGCCCAAGGAUGGGGCCGCGACCGAUCAGGUUGUUGGUGAGGUAAUGGCUCACCAAGCCUUUUACCGGUGCGGGCCGUGGGAGCGGGAGCCCGGAGAUGGGCACUGAGACAAGGGCCCAGGCCCUACGGGGCGCAGCAGUCGCGAAAACUUUGCAAUACACGAAAGUGUGACAGGGCUAUCCCGAGUGCCAUCCGCUGAGGAAGGCUUUUACCCAGUUUAGCACGCUGGGAGAAUAAGGAGAGGGCAAGACUGGUGUCAGCCGCCGCGGUAAUACCAGCUCUCCGAGUGGUGUGGAUGUUUAUUGGGCCUAAAGCAUCCGUAGCUGGCUGGGCAAGUCCCCUGUUAAAUCCACCGAUUUAAUCGUUGGUGUGCGGGGGAUACUGCUCGGCUAGGGGACGGGAGAGGCAGACGGUAUUCCCGGGGUAGGGGUGAAAUCCUAUAAUCCCGGGAAGACCACCAGUGGCGAAGGCUGUCUGCUAGAACGCGCCCGACGGUGAGGGAUGAAAGCUGGGGGAGCGAACCGGAUUAGAUACCCGGGUAGUCCCAGCUGUAAACGAUGCAGGCUAGGUGUUUGGACGGCCACGUGCCGUUCUAGUGCCGCAGGGAAGCCGUUAAGCCUGCCGCCUGGGGAGUACGGCCGCAAGGCUGAAACUUAA